This is a long non-coding RNA of Etheostoma spectabile (orangethroat darter), 141 nucleotides long. RefSeq lists it as uncharacterized. The transcript has 3 exons. The record is from RefSeq and is a predicted model, not a curated record. NCBI's taxonomy places the organism in Eukaryota, Metazoa, Chordata, Actinopteri, Perciformes, Percidae.
UGGGGCUCAAAUUAAAGGGGUUUGGCCCUUUCUCUCAGACUGAGGGAUGUGAAUGUGGGGAGAAAUACACAUGUGAGGAAGAGUCUGUGUCUUCCUCACCAGGCUGUGCUCAGUCAGCAGCAGCAGCGUAGAAGAGUGCAG